Molecule: ribosomal RNA, 506 nt
Filed under: uncultured bacterium
Lineage: Bacteria
Description: partial 16S ribosomal RNA
Rfam family: Bacterial small subunit ribosomal RNA
Source: RNAcentral
AUUGAACGCUGGCGGCAGGCCUAACGCAUGCAAGUCGAACGGUAGCACAGAGGAGCUUGCUCCUUGGGUGACGAGUGGCGGACGGGUGAGUAAUGUCUGGGAAACUGCCCGAUGGAGGGGGAUAACUACUGGAAACGGUAGCUAAUACCGCAUAACGUCGCAAGACCAAAGAGGGGGACCUUCGGGCCUCUUGCCAUCGGAUGUGCCCAGAUGGGAUUAGCUAGUAGGUGGGGUAACGGCUCACCUAGGCGACGAUCCCUAGCUGGUCUGAGAGGAUGACCAGCCACACUGGAACUGAGACACGGUCCAGACUCCUACGGGAGGCAGCAGAGGGGAAUAUUGCACAAUGGGCGCAAGCCUGAUGCAGCCAUGCCGCGUGUAUGAAGAAGGCCUUCGGGUUGUAAAGUACUUUCAGCGAGGAGGAAGGCGUUGUGGUUAAUAACCGCAGCGAUUGACGUUACUCGCAGAAGAAGCACCGGCUAACUCCGUGCCAGCCGCCGCUGUAA